UCUCCGUAGGUGAACCUGCGGAGGGAUCAUUACUGCGUUCUUGCCCUAACGGGUAGGUCUCUCACCCUAUGUUGUUAUUACUUUGUUGCUUUCGCGGGCCGUUAGGCUCCGGACCGACUACCGGCCCCGGCUGGUAAGCGUCCGCCAGAGGACAACAAACCCUGAAUCUUAGUGUCGUCUGAGUACUAUAUAAUAGUUAAAACUUUCAACAACGGAUCUCUUGGUUCUG
RNAcentral lists this unclassified non-coding RNA (229 nucleotides) under plant metagenome. RNAcentral's name for it is "partial contains small subunit ribosomal RNA, internal transcribed spacer 1, and 5.8S ribosomal RNA". The record is from RNAcentral.